RNAcentral lists this ribosomal RNA (465 nucleotides) under uncultured bacterium. Its description in RNAcentral is "bacterial SSU rRNA". It matches the Rfam family "Bacterial small subunit ribosomal RNA", at positions 329 to 792 of the family's 1533-position model. The record is from RNAcentral.
UUCCAGACUCCUACGGGAGGCAGCAGUGAGGAAUAUUGGUCAAUGGGCGGGAGCCUGAACCAGCCAAGUCGCGUGAGGGACGACGGUCCUAUGGAUUGUAAACCUCUUUUGUCGGGGAACAAAGGCGCCCACGGGUGGGCGGAUGAGUGUACCCGAAGAAAAAGCAUCGGCUAACUCCGUGCCAGCAGCCGCGGUAAUCCGGAGGAUGCGAGCGUUAUCCGGAUUUAUUGGGUUUAAAGGGUGCGUAGGCGGGCUUUUAAGUCAGCGGUAAAAAGUCGGGGCUCAACCCCGUCCGGCCGUUGAAACUGGGGGCCUUGAGUGGGCGAGAAGAAGGCGGAAUGCGUGGUGUAGCGGUGAAAUGCAUAGAUAUCACGCAGAACCUCGAUUGCGAAGGCAGCCUUCCGGCGCCCUACUGACGCUGAGGCACGAAAGUGCGGGGAUCGAACAGGAUUAGAUACCCUGGUA